ACAGGGCUGGCUGAUCCGUGCACUUUCACUUAAUGAUGUUGCGCGGAUUCUUGAACCAGUCCUGCUGC
Gallus gallus (chicken) is the source of this 68-nucleotide microRNA precursor. The record is from Ensembl. Lineage: Eukaryota; Metazoa; Chordata; Aves; Galliformes; Phasianidae.